This 292-nucleotide ribosomal RNA is filed under the name uncultured bacterium. RNAcentral's name for it is "partial 16S ribosomal RNA". The record is from RNAcentral.
GGACUACAGGGGUAUCUAAUCCCGUUCGCUCCCCUGGCUUUCGCUCCUCAGCGUCAGGUGCCUCCCAGGACACUGCCUACGCCAUUGGUAUUCCUCCGGAUCUCUACGCAUUUCACCACUCCACCCGGAAUUCUAUGUCCCUCUGCGGCCCUCGAGCCCGACCGUCUGCCCGGCACUCUCCUCGUUAAGCAAGGAGCUGGCACCGGACACGCGCCGAGCCGCCUACUCGCGCUUUACGCCCAGUAACUCCGGACAACGCUCGCCCCCUACGUAUUACCGCGGCUGCUGGCAC